This 451-nucleotide ribosomal RNA is filed under the name uncultured bacterium. Its description in RNAcentral is "partial 16S ribosomal RNA". It matches the Rfam family "Bacterial small subunit ribosomal RNA", at positions 29 to 523 of the family's 1533-position model. The record is from RNAcentral.
AGCGAACGCUGGCGGCAGGCUUAACACAUGCAAGUCGAGCGGGCAUAGCAAUAUGUCAGCGGCAGACGGGUGAGUAACGCGUGGGAACGUACCUUUUGGUUCGGAACAACACAGGGAAACUUGUGCUAAUACCGGAUAAGCCCUUACGGGGAAAGAUUUAUCGCCGAAAGAUCGGCCCGCGUCUGAUUAGCUAGUUGGUGAGGUAAUGGCUCACCAAGGCGACGAUCAGUAGCUGGUCUGAGAGGAUGAUCAGCCACAUUGGGACUGAGACACGGUCCAAACUCCUACGGGAGGCAGCAGUGGGGAAUAUUGGACAAUGGGCGCAAGCCUGAUCCAGCCAUGCCGCGUGAGUGAUAAAGGCCCUAGGGUUGUAAAGCUCUUUUGUGCGGGAAGAUAAUGACGGUACCGCAAGAAUAAGCCCCGGCUAACUUCGUGCCAGCCGCCGCCGUAA